AACUGAUACUACCUGCGGGAACCUGCGGAAGGAUCAUUAACGAUUUCGGUGUAAAAAACCGUUUUCUACCUAUGUCUACGCGUACCACUUGUUUCCUCGGGGGGCUUGCCCCCCGCUAGGACCCUUUAUCAAACCUUUUUGUAAUAGCAGUCAGCGUCUGAUACUACGUUAAUUAUUAAAACUUUCAACAAUGGAUCUCU
This 200-nucleotide unclassified non-coding RNA is filed under the name soil metagenome. RNAcentral describes it as "partial contains 5.8S ribosomal RNA, internal transcribed spacer 2, and large subunit ribosomal RNA". The record is from RNAcentral.